GAUGGACGCUGGCGGCGUGCCUAAUACAUGCAAGUCGAGCGAACAGACGAGGAGCUUGCUCCUCUGACGUUAGCGGCGGACGGGUGAGUAACACGUGGAUAACCUACCUAUAAGACUGGGAUAACUUCGGGAAACCGGAGCUAAUACCGGAUAAUAUAUUGAACCGCAUGGUUCAAUAGUGAAAGACGGUUUUGCUGUCACUUAUAGAUGGAUCCGCGCCGCAUUAGCUAGUUGGUAAGGUAACGGCUUACCAAGGCGACGAUGCGUAGCCGACCUGAGAGGGUGAUCGGCCACACUGGAACUGAGACACGGUCCAGACUCCUACGGGAGGCAGCAGUAGGGAAUCUUCCGCAAUGGGCGAAAGCUUGACGGAGCAACGCCGCGUGAGUGAUGAAGGUCUUCGGAUCGUAAAACUCUGUUAUUAGGGAAGAACAAAUGUGUAAGUAACUAUGCACGUCUUGACGGUACCUAAUCAGAAAGCCACGGCUAACUACGUG
RNAcentral lists this ribosomal RNA (497 nucleotides) under uncultured bacterium. RNAcentral's name for it is "partial 16S ribosomal RNA". It matches the Rfam family "Bacterial small subunit ribosomal RNA", at positions 28 to 507 of the family's 1533-position model. The record is from RNAcentral.